AUGCAUGCCGUGCCACAUAACAUCGAAUGAAAUCAAAAUGGAGUGAAUCUGACGCAAGUUUAGGCGUUUUAAAAGCGUUUUAACAGCGCUGUUUCUUAAACAGAUCUUGUGGCUGUUGUUGCUGACGUAUGGGAAGCAAGUAACGAGUGAAGAAGUUAGUGAAAAGUCUCACAUUCACUUCUAUUCUCAGUGAGCACUCAAUGAACACGAAUCUAAAGCAUUACCAAUCCGUCCGGCGUCAAGGAUCGCGCACGGUAUACAACCAGAAGAAAACUGCGCCUUAACACAAUGCGCAUGUACAUAUGCUGAGGACGAGGACAGCCAAGCAGUCCAUUCAGAGUCAACAAUAUAUCGGAGGGAAAUAUCGUCUCUAUCUUCAGGGUCGAAGAAUAUGCCGAACAAGAAACCAACGUGAACGCAGAGGUUCGUUCACCUACCCUGAAUAUGGGACAUGUUCCUCCGCAACGUCGGCUAAUUUUCAACGGACUACAUGACGUUACAUUCCAGAAGAUAGGACUCUUUGUAACCACCGGUGUCAGAACCUCAGACCCUGCAACCACAUCCGUUAAUUGUCCGGGAUAUAUUUGCUUUGCAAGGUUAUGUUUUCUCAGAUAUGACAUCGUGCAGUCUUGUAGAUAAUUAUUAAAGUUUCCGGUAAAUUUCCUUCCUGUAUAUUCAAGGAAUAAGAUCAAAAAUAUUGAUCUAUGCUAAGAAUGGUGGCGGUAAGUUACUUCGAAACAAUGACCCUCCUAUUCGUAAGGUGCUUGGUUCGAAUUUCCGUCGUGACACCUGCUGCUCUAAGGUCCUUCGUGGGGAUCCUCAGUCUCUCCCGUGUUUGGAUUAUGGAGUCUUGUAUAAGAAAAGUAAUUUAGGGAGUUACAAUGUAGACUUUCUGUAUGGGAACACUCGUUAAGUUACAUUAGUAGGCAAAUAUACAGUAUUACACUAACUACUGUAAGUACUCGCAUAUUUGUACUCUGAAGUUACGAGUUUUUGUUUCACUUUCGAAUAAAAGCAGGCUUCAGUUC
Long non-coding RNA from Cryptotermes secundus, 1028 nucleotides. RefSeq lists it as uncharacterized. The record is from RefSeq and is a predicted model, not a curated record. Lineage: Eukaryota; Metazoa; Arthropoda; Insecta; Blattodea; Kalotermitidae. The transcript has 4 exons.